Molecule: long non-coding RNA, 4507 nt
Organism: Pseudopipra pipra
Lineage: Eukaryota; Metazoa; Chordata; Aves; Passeriformes; Pipridae
Exons: 2
Source: RefSeq, a predicted model, not a curated record
CAUAGAAAAGAGAGGGGAAAAAAAAAGGAUAAUGAAAGAGUGUCUGAGUUUCCCAUCCUACUAAAGCACAGGGAUAGGCUCGUGUUUGUACUGUCUUCUGCAUGGCUAAGUGGAAAUGAAUGUGGUGAUGUGCUUCACAUGAUCUGAGAAAUCCCUCUCUUUCCAGGGGCUGGAGACAAAAUGUAGUGGGCUGAGAUGUGCCCUGGGAAGCAGCAGGAAUGAGGCAGAGCUGACCUGUCUCCCAGGCAGCCUGGGCAGGGGAAGGGGGACUCUGCACUCCCCAGGGUCACUCUGGGGGGCUUUUUGCCCCUGGGAAAAGGCUGGAACUUGGUGCCGUCUGUGCUGCCAAACGGAGCGUUUGGGAACAGACUUUAUCUGCAGAGAGCUUUCCUCCAGGCACUGCAUGAGUAAUUUACUUAGGAGGAUAUAUUUAGCUAAGGACCACAUAAAUUCACCCUGGAAUUAAAGUCCAUGGUUAAAACUGCAGCUAUUCCAUGGAUUUAUAGCGUUCCACAUGCUGAUGUUCUGCUCUCUGGUCUGUUGGAAGGCAGACAAAAAAGCAUAAAUUGGGGGGAAAAGUUGUUUGCAAUUGCAUAUCUUAUUUCUCUGUUAGUGGAGAGAAUUGGCUGCACUGAGGACAACAAAUUGUUCCUGUUUAUGAAAGCAACUUAAGAUGGUGGGUUUUUGAACAAAUUGAUUCUCAGCUCUUUAAUAUGCAUUGGGUAUAUUCUGAAUACAGUUUGCAAUCCACCAAGUAUUGCACUUGCUACAUGGAUAUUGCUCAGGAACUAGUUCUGUAUUUCCCCAGCAGAUCCUCUGCUGGCAACUAGAGCUUCAAGUGGGACACAACUGCAGUGUUAAUGUCACAGGGACCUAAAACUGUGUGGAAAGAAUGUGGUUAAGGGAAUGAAGUAACAUUUAAACUAUGGGAACAGUUGACUGGGCAGAUAGAAGUGGGCAGCACUGCCUCACUUGGGGCUCUGUGCCAUUGGAAAUGGAAUUUAACAUAAUCAAGGACAGAUUUCUGGGGUUUCAAAGGAUGAUAUUUCCACAAAAAUAUUAUGCUUUUCAUUUCAUUUUUCUAUCCUCUUUCAUAUGUAGUUAGAUUAAUUCUUUUUUAGAAGAACGGUAUCUACUUCUCAUGUCUUAUACCUCCUCUUAGACCACUAAGAUACAGAAUUAAAUCUUAUUUUCCCUACAGCAGGAAGUUUUAGGAUUAUCAGAGAAGUGCACUCACAGUUUGAGCUGAUGUUAACAAACAUAAAAGCCACUGUUCUUGCCCGUUCCAGCGUUAGGAUCUGGACUUCAGGAGUCACAGAGAGUGUCUUGGUUCUGUGGGAAAUGCAAGUUCAACUUUAUUCCCUCUAAUAGGUUAAAAUGGCUCACUAAAUUUGGAAUGCAUGUUUUAAGAUACACAGGUUUCUCGUUCUCCUCCUUGCAGACAUGUGAAUAUAUUCUGUCACACUGUGUACAAAAUACUCUAAUAAGUGGGAGACACUGGGAAGGCUCCUAAGCUGGGAAAUGAGAGAUAAAUAAAUAAGCACUGCUGGUACCAAGGAUCUGAGAAGAACCUUCUCUGCUUCCCCUUCCUAACUGUGUGAAUCCCCAUCUUCCUUUUAGUGUUUUUUAAUUACUUUGAUUUAAACGACCUCAUUGUAAAACAAAUGGGCUGAACCAUUUAUUGAUCAGGAGGUCAAUGGUUUAACUGUGCUGCUGCUGGAGCUGCAGCACUGCAGGACUGAGGGUUCAGCUGCUCCUCUGCUAUUCCAUCACUGUGCACGGAUCCAGGACGUAGGAUGUCCUCAGAAAUGUGCCAGCAAAGUGCUGUUAAGAAAGAUUUGCCCCUUUGAGGAUGUUCCCUCCUGGAAGCAGCCCCUGGGUCCCUCUGACUGUGGGACACUGGCAGUUUGUGUUCCCCUCCCUGGGCUGCUCAUGAGACAAAUAUUGAUGCCUUGGGAGGUGACCACAACUCCUGGGCUUGCUGUACAAGUGCCUUUUGGCCUUCAGGAAUAUCAAAUCCAACCCCUUUCUCUGGCAGCAGAAGGAAAUCUGUUCUUUAAUUUUUGAUCUGCCUGGGGGUCCACGUGUGUUAACCCACCUGCCUCAACACUCAGCCUGUUCCUUCUCCUUGCCAGCACAGUCAGGAGUUCAUUAGUGACAGGAGAAGCUGCUCUGGACAAUUUGUGGCAAUAAUAUACUUGAGAGUUGCUCUUUUUUGCCUCCUCCAGCCCUUCCCUUUGCUUCCUGAGCUGCACAGAUCAGCUGGCAGGACGUUGGUGGAAUAUUCAAGGCUGGGAAGCUGUGUCUCAUUUCUCAGCACAUUUCUUGAUUUCUCCUAAUCAAAUGAGGCUGCCAACUGUUCAUGGAGAGGCCUCUUGGAUUUGUUAUUGCUUGGAACUGGAGCAGGGAGUGACCACUCAUUUAUCUGGGGCUGAGAUCUGUGAUAGUUGUCUUGAUGGAACAGACUUUGGAGUCAAAGCCCAGCCUGUGGGUGCAAAGGUUAUUGGGUUUUUCUCUGUGGUUCUUCAUUGAGCUGCAGUGUUUUGGCUGCUUUGAACACAUGGCUGCUCUCCAUUUUGGUGUUUGGGACAGGAGCUGGAAGUUCUGUGACUUUUCUUCACGUGUGGCUGGGUUAAAGACUCACAUAAAGCUACAGGUUCUCAUGUGGAUUUUGAAAAAAAUCAUUAGAACACCCACUUUCUCCUCCCCACCCCCAAUAUUUUCUUUCCAUUCUCCGAAAUGCAGGAAUAUAAAGAAAGAUUAUUGUCAUUUGGUGAUGUCUCACAGCUCUGACUUUCUGAAAUGUUGUUUUUAAUGUGCUGGCAUGCCUUUACUUCAUUCUUUGCACAAAAAAAAAAAGAAAAAAAAAGAAAAAUUCUUGGAAGAAAAGUGCUGAAGAAUGUGCUGAUUCCAAAACCAUAACCCUAAAUUACCCAUUUCAGAGGGAUGACAUAUCAGAGCUACAGAUUUCUCUUUUCUACUAUAGCCACUUGCAGCUACAAGAAUAAAAGACAACUCAGCAGCUUUCUGCAAGCUGGUGAAGAUUUAUAAGAUAUUUUAUUUGUGUACAAACUCUGGAGUACCAAAUAUCUCUGAAUUAUUCAUUCAUUGUGUCUUCUAAUUGCUCAGAUCUCAGUUUAUACAGCUCUAGUCAACACUGGAACCACCUCUGAGCUUCUUUCUUUUCUGUGUCCUGACAAUAUUUCUUUGUGAUUUAGUUGUUAAUCCUUUAAGAGCACAAGAUUUUUAUUAGACAACCUUUUGAACAGCCCUGUAGACCAGAUCCCAACUGCUGCUGUCGGUGGAAUCAUGUUCCCUACACAAUAGGUGUGAAUCACAGAUGCACAUUUUGUGCCACAAAGAAGUGAAAUCAAGCCAUUGUGCUUUAAUAAGACAAUAAUUACAGCAGAUUUUCUUCAGUCUCUGACAUGCACAGUGAACCAGGUGAAUUACUUGGCUGACAGCCAGCCCUGAACUUGGUGUGCUGCUGGUAAUUUGGAUUCUUGCAGCGCCAUUCCAGGGCAGCUGUGACAUCCUGGCCCCAGUGACACCACAGUGUGCAGGAAAAUCACUCUUGGGAGAGAGCAAAACAGAAGCAAGGAGUGGGAAAACAGAAUAGUUUUUGUAGAUUAGAUGUGGUUUGUUAGCAGGGUUGUGUGGGAAAGCUCCAGGGGAACAGGAGAGCAAGGACUCAGCAGGUUGCUGUACAGUGGUUUGUAGAUGCAUCCUGCAAUUUCCAGGUUGGGAAUUAAUUGUGGAUAACUGUUCCAUGCAUUCACCUCCCUUCUCUCCCUGCUGAACUCUUCAGGAGAGGGUAGAGCCAAUCAAUAAACGAGCACCCCACUGGGUUAUGAGCACACAACAGGGUAGAUCCAUCCACAUGGAAUCCUGAAGGAACAUUCAGGGGCUGGAAUGGAACCAUCCAGACUUGGAGGUGCUGGGAACAGUCACAGCAGUGUCUUCAUGCUUUGGAAUAAAGAAAAGGGUCCUUUCAUAGUCAAGCAAGUCCAAGGCCUCUUUUAUAUUCCUUCUAAAAGAGAGGAACUUCAAAGCAGAGCAUUGUGAGGAAACCUCCCAGAUCCACCUCUACAAGACACCACCACAACCAGUCCCUCCCAGAACUGUGUCCAACAUCAGCCAUGGCUGGAAGUGAAUCCAGUGUAACUAAAUGGAGUGGAAGAGUGCACAGCCAAGGGAUCUCAGGGGAGCAGGGAUGAGGAGGAAUUCAAAGCAUCCAUCUGACGUAUCAAGGGAGCAUUGAAAACUUCCAACCCUUCCCUAGUUGUUCCUUCUUGGAAAUUUUCUUGGGAGAUUUGCUCUGUGGAUUGCUGGGUGCAUCAGCACAGCUCCUGCUUGCCAGAGCUCUUCCUGAGGAGAACUGGUUUCAAUAAAUUACUGGAGCUUUGGAAGGGCUGGAGUUCCAGCCAUGGCAGCUCAGAAGAGGGAGGGGGAAGCAGGAAUACAAGAGCUUUUCCAGCUGGGUAAAGAGCAAAGGUAAUUCUCCAAA